ACCGCCCAGCCAGCAGCCUCACUGCCGCAGCUUCUGUGUCGGGGCAUGUGUUGGUGGACGCGGGGGCUGCCUCCUCGGCUACUGGAGGGGACGCUGCGCAAACACGGGGCACAUCAAUCCUUUCAAAUCAGUGGUUUCAUUGGCUUUGGGGCAAACCCCCAGCAGCGCCAUUUCUGGGCUGCGGGGCAGCUCUGUCUGUAGGCCUCGGAGAUCCCCCCCCCUCUGUUCCCUCCGACGGCUGCACAGCCUGCGCGCCCAGCAGGGCGGGAGGGUCCCCUUGCUCCACAUCCUUGCCAACACUUGCUGUUUGCUGAGUUUUUGCUUUUCGCCAUCCUGACGGGUGUGAGCGGGAGCCUGCUGUGGCUUCCACGUCUACUUCCCUGAUGCUGAGGGAUGCCGAGCAUCUUUUCCCGUGUCUCCUGCUCACCUGCAUGUCUUUGGAAAAAUUGGCUAUUCAGCUCCUCUGCCCAUUUUUUAAUUUGAAUUAUUUGGGACUUUCUUGGUCCGGAGGUGUAUAAGUUCUUUAUAUAUUUUGGAUAUUAACCCCCUUUCCAGAUUAUCAUUUGCAGACAUCUCGUCCCAUUCAAUAGAUUGAACCUUGUCAUUUUGCUCAUGGUUUUCCUUCACUGGGCAAAAGCUUUUUAUUUUGGUGUGAUCCUAUUAGUUUGCUUUUGCUCUUGUUUCCCUUGCCUCAGGAGACCUAUCUAGAAAAACGUUGCUACAGCCAACGUCAGAGUUUACUGCUAGUGAUUUCUUUUAGGAUUUUUAUGGUUCCAGGUCCCACAUUUAGGUCUUUCAUUCAUUUUGAGCUUAUCUUUGUGUCUGAUGUAACGAAGUGGUCCUGUUUCACUCUUCCGCACGUGGCUGCCCAGUUUUCCCAACACCGCCUGUUGAAGAGACUGUCUUUUUUUUUUCUCAUUGGGUAUUUUUGUUUCCUUUGUCCUAGAUUAAUUGACCAUAUAAGCCCGGGUUUGUUUCUGGGAUCUCCAUUCUGCUCCAUUUCUCCUCCUCUUCCUCCUCCUCCUCCUUUUCCUCCUCCUCCUCCUCCUCCUCCUUCUUCUUCUCCUCCUUCCUCCUCUCCUACUCCUUCUCCUUCCUCUUCCUUGUCUUUUUUUUUUUUUUAACUGAAGUAUAACUGACAUACACUAUUUUUAAUUAGUUUCAGGAGUAGGACCUAAUGAUUCAGUAUCUGUAUUUACUGCAAAAGACUCACCACCAUAAGUCUGGGUAACAUUUAUAAAGCUUUGUAUGUUUCUGAACGAUGAAAAUGCUCUAAAGGAAAUACACUUUCUGCUUCGUGGCUGUGGCCAAAUUUAAGAAAGUGGCUGAAGAGGCACAUUUAGGUCAGUUCUCCCGCUGGACUGUGCCCUAAUGCCUUUCGGAAAAGGGCAGUCUGCAAACAGGAAGUUUUCAGUUCAGCGCUGGCAUGCUAGCAAGAAACUGUCUGAAAUUAGAGAAUUCACACGCUGACGGGCCUUCUUAAAAGAUCUCCCACAGAAACAUAACCAGGCUUUGUCCUCCAGGACUUGCACGGAUCAUCACGGGGACACUCGGGUGCUGAUGUGAGGAUGAAACGAGCACCCCGUAGAUCGGCCUUUAAUCCACCAGGAACGGUGGGUGUGCGCGGUCUGUGCCAAGAGAUUCCAAGGACAACCCUCCCCCCCACCCCGCGAGUGCCAGGUGAUGCCUUUCCUGAGCGGGAGAUGCCGGACGUCCGUCCGCGCGGGGCACCUUGCAGCCUGGAGCUGGGAGCACAUGAGGAUGAACCAGAGAGAGAGAAUCCGAAGCGGACUCGGCGCUGAGCAGGGAGCCUGACACGGGGCCAGACCCAUGACCCCGAGACUCACAACCUGAGCAGACAGCGAGAGUCAGACAAAGGAUGGACAGGGACGAGGGCGUGCUCUUCAGCUCACAAGCACCGCAGGCCUCUGCCUGCUUCACCUGCCACUGAACCUAAGAGAGAUAAAGGGUGUCAUAUGCAGAAGCCUAAUUGGAGAAGGGAACCCGUGGACUUCCUCCCCGUGAUCCGUAUUCAUGGGGAAGAUCAAGUACGAGACAUGUAGACGUCUUCUAAGAUCUUAUUUAUUAUUUAAAGAGAGAGAGUAGCGGGAAAGAGAAUCGCAGGCGGACUCUCCGCUGAGCAUAGAGCCCCACGCGGGUCUCGACCCCACGACACCGAGAUCGCGACAGGAGCUGGAACUAAGGGUCAGACACAAGUGGCUGGGCCACCCAGGCGCCCCCUAAAUACGCAAAUGUAUUUUACAAAUCUGGAGGCGGGCACAGCAGAUCGCUAGCCCUCUUUACUCCGGCGGAAAGAGUAAAGCAUGAGUUUUCCUCUGUAUUCCUGAACUCGUGAGGAUAUAUUCAUGAGUUGGUUGUGUAAUUAAGCUGAAGUCAAAGAAUUUUUUAAAGAGAAGUUGCACAUGUGUUGUUCGGGUACGUGUGACCCACGUAUUUCAUCUGAGAACUUCCCUCACUGACACAGAAUCCGAAUGAUACACUAGAUGAAAAGGAGUCACCCCACACACAGAUCCUAAAUUCCAAGGAACUCAAAACAAAAUACAUUUCAUAUGAGAUUGA
Long non-coding RNA from Canis lupus familiaris (dog), 2580 nucleotides. RefSeq lists it as uncharacterized. Lineage: Eukaryota; Metazoa; Chordata; Mammalia; Carnivora; Canidae. The transcript has 3 exons. The record is from RefSeq and is a predicted model, not a curated record.